CAUUAAGUGGCUGAAAGUAAGUAACGGUCUCUUAAACCGCAAGAUAUCAUAUUAACAAAUGAUUUUAAUGA
Molecule: transfer RNA, 71 nt
Filed under: Cryptopygus terranovus
Lineage: Eukaryota; Metazoa; Arthropoda; Collembola; Entomobryomorpha; Isotomidae
Description: tRNA-Lys
Source: RNAcentral